RNAcentral lists this ribosomal RNA (484 nucleotides) under uncultured bacterium. Its description in RNAcentral is "partial 16S ribosomal RNA". It matches the Rfam family "Bacterial small subunit ribosomal RNA", at positions 28 to 507 of the family's 1533-position model. The record is from RNAcentral.
AUUGAACGCUGGCGGCAUGCUUUACACAUGCAAGUCGAACGGCAGCGCGGGCUUCGGCCUGGCGGCGAGUGGCGAACGGGUGAGUAAUGCAUCGGAACGUGCCCAGUAGUGGGGGAUAGCCCGGCGAAAGCCGGAUUAAUACCGCAUACGACCUGAGGGUGAAAGCGGGGGACCGAAAGGCCUCGCGCUAUUGGAGCGGCCGAUGUCGGAUUAGCUAGUUGGUGGGGUAAAGGCUUACCAAGGCGACGAUCCGUAGCUGGUCUGAGAGGACGACCAGCCACACUGGGACUGAGACACGGCCCAGACUCCUACGGGAGGCAGCAGUGGGGAAUUUUGGACAAUGGGGGCAACCCUGAUCCAGCCAUGCCGCGUGCGAGAAGAGGGCCUUCGGGUUGUAAACCGCUUUUGUUCGGGAAGAAAUCCUCUGGGCUAAUACCCCGGGGGGAUGACGGUACCGGAAGAAUAAGCACCGGCUAACUACGUG